This 5993-nucleotide long non-coding RNA is filed under the name Gossypium barbadense (sea-island cotton). RNAcentral's name for it is "long non-coding RNA (GBAR_LNC005690)". The record is from RNAcentral. Lineage: Eukaryota; Viridiplantae; Streptophyta; Magnoliopsida; Malvales; Malvaceae.
UUUAGUUUGAACUUAAUUAAUAAUAACAUAUCAAAUAUGUACGAUAAUAAAACGAAAAAAAAUAGAUUAACUUGUGACACUAACUCAAUCAACAACAUUAUUAAUAUAUACAAUUGAUGGCAGUAAUAAAUUAGGCAUAUUAAAAUUAAAAAAUAUAAAAAAAACAUUAAAAUAAUUUUUUGGUUAAGUGGUAAAUUUAAUAUUUUACUAAUACAAUUGACAUGUGUUCAAAUAUCACCAUAUGUAAUUUAAGUAACACCACUUGUGUCUGCUACCCUAGCACGAAAACGUCUGCCUAUUGGCACGCACUUUAGGUUUUUGUAUUUUUCAGCGUCAUUUGUCUUUGCCGGCGGGUCACUUUCAAAUAAAUUUUUCCCUAGUAAAGCAGGGUACAAUCAGGAUCAAGUCUCCGUCCUGCAAACAUGGAGAUGGAAUUAGCCAGAUUAACACUAAAUGAAGAAAAGGAAGCAGUUCUUCAAGUACAAACAGAGCAGCGCACACAGAGAGAUGAGGGGUUUUUCAGGUUAGUGGGUUGUUUCUUAACAGCAAGUGUUAUUCAUUUUCCUGCAAUGAAAAGUACUAUGGCAAAUUUAUGGCACCCGGUUCGGGGUGUCCAGAUUCGGGAUCUGGGAGAUAGAAGAUUCUUGUUCCAAUGUUUUCAUGUUAUGGAUUUGGAGAGAGUAUUAAAUGGAUCACCAUGGACAUUUAAUAAUCAUUUACUGUUGCUAUACAAAUUACAAUUGGGGGAGGAUCCAUUAAGAGUUCCUUUAAUCAGGUCACCUUUUUGGAUUCAGAUCCAUGACAUUCCAGUUGGUCUUUAUUCGAAGAAUUUGGCUAGACAGUUGGGAAAUUUUAUAGGAGAAUUUAUAGAGUAUGAUGGAUCAGAUUUGGGGAAGGAAAAUAGAAAUUAUAUGAGAAUUAGAGUACAGAUUGAUGUGAGGCGGCCUCUAAAGAGGAAGAAACAGAUUCAGUUUGGGGGUAAAUGCACAUAUGUGAGUUUCAAGUACGAAAGACUGUCCCUGUUUUGUUUUUAUUGUGGUCGUUUGGGUCAUAGUGAUGCUUUUUGUGAAGCAAAAAUGGAUGCAGGAAAGGAAGUUGUUGAUAUGGGAUGGAACUUAUCGCUGAGAGCCCAAUCUAGAAGGGCUUUAGCAAUGAAAAGUAUAUGGCUGAGAGAAGACAAUGUUGAUAAUUUUGGAGUUACUAGUGCAAACAGAUGCUUUCAAAGGAACGACAAAUGGGCUGCGGAACACACGCAAGGAUUUGGGCGACCUAUUGACCCAAUAUUGGGACUAAGCCUGGAAGGAAGACCGGUCUAUGUAGGGCGAGAGGGAGUUAAUUUGACGAUUAAUUCAGCUCCUGCUGAUAUGGAGCAUGAUCAGGAAGAUGGAAUUUUAUUUGGGGAGGAAGGGAAAAAGAGAGCUAGAGGGGAGAAUGAGGAGGAGACCAAUAAUUCAAUGAACAGGAAUAUACGAAUCUUGGAAGGUAAUUAUCUAUUAUCGGUGGCUGCCAAGAGGCAUGCCUACUGGGAGCAAUGAAAAUCUUGAGUUGGAAUGUCCGUGGAUUGGGGAGUCCACGGGCGAUUCACAGACUCCGGCAUUCGCUGAAGAUACAUAAUCCCCAAGUGGUUUUCUUUAUGGAAACUAAGGUGUGUAAAAAUAAAAUGGAAAGAAUUCGUCAUAGAUAUGGUUAUAUGAAUGGGCUUGAAGUUGAUCCGGUUAAUACUAGAGGUGGUCUUUGCUUAGCAUGGAGGAAUGAUAUUUGCAUUGAACUUAGCAGUUUUUCUAAGAGACACAUUGAUGUAGUGGUUGAGGAUAAGGAGGUAAAGGGCAAAUGGAGACUCACUGGAUUCUAUGGAUCUCCCUAUGCUCAAGACAGGAGUGAAUCUUAGAAUGUGUUGAAGAAUUUACACAAUGAUGAUGGGAGGCCUUGGUUCGUUUGCGGAGACUUCAAUGAGAUAAUGUAUGGCCAUGAAAAAAAGGGAGGGCUACCUUGUGAUGAACGAAAAAUGGAGAAUUUUCGUAAUGUUUUAGCGGAUUGUGAGCUUUUGGAUGUGGGUUUUUCUGGGAACCGGUUUACGUGGGAAAGAGGAAAUCUACCCGAAACAAAUAUUCGGGAACGACUUGAUCGUGGAGUUACCAAUGAUGCAUGGAUGAGUUUGUUUCCAGAGGUCACUAUUCAGCAUAUGCCUCAUUCUUUUUCAGAUCAUUGUCCUCUCUUAAUUACUACUAGGAGGGUUGAAAAUGGGGUUAAUACUAAAGUUUUCAAGUUUGAAGCAUGGUGGAUAAUGGAAGAGUCUUUUAAUGAAGAAGUCAAAAAUUUAUGGGAGUCCUCAUCUGGGAGCCUAUUUCAAAAGCUAGAUAUCUUAAAGGAGGGACUGAGACGAUGGGCAAGUCAGAUUCGUUUUGAUAGAAGAAGGAGAAAGGAUAUGCUCACAGCUAGACUAUCAAAACUUGAAAGGGAUGAUAGAGAUGAUAUCAACCUGGCAGAAUUGAUUGAUUGUAAAAUUCAAUUGAACUUUGAGAUUGAGAAAGACGAACGUUACUGGGAACAACGGGCUCGAAUAAAUUGGCUGAAAUUUGGGGAUAAGAAUACUGCAUUUUUUCAUAGUCAAGCGACGCAGCGUAAAAGGAAAAAAAUCAUACACAAACUAAACGAUGAAGAAUGAGGAACAACGGAGAGUUUUAAGGAAAUGGAGGGAAUUGCGCGAUCUUAUUUUCAAAAUUUAUUUUUAACAGAUGGACGAGGAACCCUUGACCAUUUGUUAUCAAGUAUUGAGAAAUGCAUAUCUGAGGAGGAAAACCAAGAUCUUUUGAGGCCUUAUUCGGCAGAGGAGCUUAAAGAGGCGCUUUUUGCAAUGGGUCCUACCAAAGCACCAGGUGAAGAUGGCUUCCCGGCACUAUUUUACCAAAAUUGCUGGCACAUCAUUAGGGAGGACGUCACCAAAUUCUGUUUACAAAUUCUGAAUGAAGGUAUGGAUUUUUAAAAAAUUAAUGUGACUCAAAUAAUCCUUAUCCCUAAAAUUGAUAAUCCUACUACUAUGAUGGAUUUCUGUCCUAUUAGUUUGUGCAAUGUGCUUUAUAAAAUUAUAGCAAAAUCGAUUGCAAAUAGGCUCAGAGGAGUUAUCGGAAAAUGUAUUGAUGGGGCCCAAAGUGCGUUUGUACCAGGCAGAUUGAUCUCAGACAAUAUUCUACUUGCAUAUGAAAUUCUUCACACUUUUAAACAGAAGAGAACUGGGAAAAAAAGGUCUUAUGGCAGUCAAGUUGGACAUGAAUAAAGCAUACGACAGGGUUGAGUGGAAUUUUAUCAAAGAAAUGAUGGCAAGAAUGGGGUUUGAUUUGAGAGUGAUCGGAAUUUUGAUGAAAUGUUUGACAACAGUCUCCUACUCAGUAGUUGUAAAUGGUUAUAUAAGAGAAAGCUUUCAACCAACAAGGGGACUUCGUCAGGGAGACCCACUUAGUCCGUUUCUUUUUCUCAUUUGUGGGGAAGGGCUGUCAUGUUUAAUGAGAUUAGCAUGCAGGGAAGGACUAGUGAAAGGAGCCAAAGCCAGUAGGAACGGACCACAGGUAUCACAUUUACUGUUUGCUGAUGAUUGUAUCUUAUUUGGUCAAGCCACAAGUAGGGAAGCUAAUUUUUUAAAGGAGAUUUUGGGGGAAUAUAGGAGAUGCUCGGGGCAAUGUGUUAACUUUAAUAAGUCCACUGUCUUUUUUAGCAGUAAUACAAAUGCUGAAGAUAAACGAGAGGUGGUAAACAUUUUGGGGGUACGUAGUUCAGAAAAUCUGGAGAGGUAUUUGGGAUUGCCCAACACAGUUGGAAGAAGGAAAAAAGAAUCUUUUCAUGGCUUAAAAGAUAGAUUUAAGAAACGUAUUGACAAUUGGAGUACCAGGUUUUUGUCUCAGGGCGGGAAAGAAGUGUUUAUUAAAUCGGUCCUGCAAUCUAUACCAACUUACUCUAUGUCGUGUUUCUUAUUACCUAAGUCUUUAUGUUCAGAAAUGGAAAGCAUUAUAGCUCAAUUUUGGUGGCAAAAGGGGCGUAGAAAACGAGGAAUACAUUGGUGUGCAUGGAAAAAUCUUUGUAUUUUAAAAGAAAAUGGGGGUCUUGGUUUUUGAAACAUGAGUCAGUUUAAUAUUGCAUUAUUAGCCAAACAGGGGUGGCGUCUUAUUACUUAUCCAAAUUCGUUAGUGGCUAGAGUGCUCAAGGCUAAAUACUAUCCAAACACGGACUUUAACAACGCUCAGUUAGGAAAUAUACCUUCUCUCACCUGGAAGAGUGUGUGGGCUGCUAAGGGAUUGUUGAAUAAUGGACUAUGUUGGAGGGUUGGAAAGGGUGAUGGAAUCUCGAUCUGGGAGGACUGUUGGAUACCAGGCAAGGAACCUGAAGAGUGGAACCGUAGAAACAGAAGUGAAGAGUACAAGUUAGUCUCAGAAUUAAUUGAUUCAAAUACCAGAACAUGGAAGUCAGAUAUUAUCAGUAGUACCUUCCCAAUUGAGAUUGCUCAACAAAUCAUUCAGAUUCCUCUUGCAAAAAUUCCUCAUAAUGACCUUCAAGUGUAGAAGGGAGAAUCGACCGGAGAAUUCACUGUCAGAAGCGCCUACAAACUAUUACAAGAAACUAGCUUGGAUCCUAGUUAUUAUUAUUUACAUGCCGACUCAAUGAAUUUCUACAAAAAACUUUGAAAUCUAGGACUACCCUCAAAACUACUGAUUACAAUUUGGAGAAUUACAUGGAACUAUAUCCCGACUUUUGCAAAUCUAAAACAUAAGCGAGUAAUUAAUAGUGCUUUAUGCCCUCGAUGUGGGAAUGGAGAAGAAGACAGUGAGCAUGUCUUUUUGAAUUGCCCUGUAACGGUAGAGAUUUGGAGGAAGUUAGGGGUCUCAUGGGUUGACAGAACAGUUCACAAUAUCUGGGAAUGGAUCACCUGGAUCUUUCAGAAGACCGCUAUUCAACAGCGUCGCUUGCUUUGCUGUGGCUUGUGGAUUAUCUGGAGUUCACGAAAUAAGCUUGUACACGAAAGGAAGUUAGAGUCAGCAGAUGAGAUUUCACAGAAUAUUCGAAGAUAUAUGGCUGAGAUUGAAGGAUUAGAAGAAAAAAAAACUUAUCUCUCCAAAGGGGUGUAGAAGCAACGUUUUAGAUGUAAACACCAGGGCAACGAUUCAGUUUGACGCUACACUUGAUAAUAGAAACCACAGAUCAGCAUCGGGAGUAGUGGUUUGGAGUCAGACGGGGGAGCUCCUUGCAUUAAAGUCAAUGAUCAACAUAAAUGUUUCAUCUCCGUUUGUUGCAGAGGCGUAUGCAGGCUUACAGGCUGUUGAGUUAGGGAUAUCGCUAAAACUUCCCUCAGUAACGGUUAUGGGAGAUUCUCGAACAGUUAUCAAAAAAUGUCAGUCAAAGAAUUCGGAUAAAUCAAUCAUCGGUACAAUAAUCAGAGACAUUCAUAGCAGUAUGCACAGGUUCUAGGAAAUAAAAUUCCAAUUUAUUAAAAGAACAGAGAAUGCCUAUGCUCACAACCUGGCCAAGGAGUCUUUGAGAAAGAAUGAAUGAACGUACCAGAGAAGGCCGGAUCUGACUCAACACCAUUCGCAACCGGAGGGAAGGUGGAGGAACAACCCAGAUUGAGAUUUGUCUAGGGUUAAUGAAAUGAAAUAGAUAGCUGAAAAUCGUAUAUGGAUCGGCUAUUGACAAGCAUAGAGAAGACAUUGAUGUGAAAGGACGAGAAGAAAAUGGAGUACAGCUGUGUCUUGGGAAUCGGCUAGUUUAAUUUCAACAAGUUUCCUUUUAUUUGUUUUUCAAUUAAUAGGCAGGUUUUUUAUUAGAAUUUUUAAUUAUUUUUGAAAUUAAUGGCUAAAGAGAUAGGACAAUGAUGGGAUAGGACACCUAGAGUGUCAUAGGCCUGAACCAUUAUUAUUAGGUUUUGUAUUUGUCUUCUUUAUUUAUUUAUAUCUAGCCGAUUUUAUUUUCAAAAAAAAAAUAUCACCAUAUGUACUUUUUUAUUAAAG